RNAcentral lists this ribosomal RNA (494 nucleotides) under uncultured bacterium. RNAcentral describes it as "partial 16S ribosomal RNA". It matches the Rfam family "Bacterial small subunit ribosomal RNA", at positions 28 to 507 of the family's 1533-position model. The record is from RNAcentral.
GACGAACGCUGGCGGCGUGCUUAACACAUGCAAGUCGAACGGAAAGGCCUGCUUUCCCUUGUGGAUUGCGGGUACUCGAGUGGCGAACGGGUGAGUAACACGUGAGUGAUCUGCCCCCAACUUGGGUAUAAGCCUGGGACACUGGGUCUAAUUCCCGAUAGGACUGCAUGGUGGUGCCUGUGGUGGAAAACGAUUUUCUAGUGGUUGGGGAUGAGCUCGCGGCCUAUCAGCUUGUUGGUGGGGUAAUGGCCUACCAAGGCGGCGACGGGUAGCCGGCCUGAGAGUGUGGGCGGCCACAUGGGGACUGAGAUACGGCCCAGACUCCUACGGGGGGCAGCAGUGGGGAAUAUUGCACAAUGGGCGGAAGCCUGAUGCAGCGACGCCGCGUGGGGGAUGACGGCCUGCGGGUUGUAAACUCCUUUCGACCGCGAGGAAGCCACCUGGUUGGGAGGGUGGUGACGGUAGUGGUAUAAGAAGCACCGGCUAACUACGUG